RNAcentral lists this ribosomal RNA (1634 nucleotides) under Escherichia coli. RNAcentral describes it as "partial 23S ribosomal RNA". It matches the Rfam family "Bacterial large subunit ribosomal RNA", at positions 609 to 2228 of the family's 2925-position model. Lineage: Bacteria; Pseudomonadati; Pseudomonadota; Gammaproteobacteria; Enterobacterales; Enterobacteriaceae. The record is from RNAcentral.
UGUAUAAUGGGUCAGCGACUUAUAUUCUGUAGCAAGGUUAACCGAAUAGGGGAGCCGAAGGGAAACCGAGUCUUAACUGGGCGUUAAGUUGCAGGGUAUAGACCCGAAACCCGGUGAUCUAGCCAUGGGCAGGUUGAAGGUUGGGUAACACUAACUGGAGGACCGAACCGACUAAUGUUGAAAAAUUAGCGGAUGACUUGUGGCUGGGGGUGAAAGGCCAAUCAAACCGGGAGAUAGCUGGUUCUCCCCGAAAGCUAUUUAGGUAGCGCCUCGUGAAUUCAUCUCCGGGGGUAGAGCACUGUUUCGGCAAGGGGGUCAUCCCGACUUACCAACCCGAUGCAAACUGCGAAUACCGGAGAAUGUUAUCACGGGAGACACACGGCGGGUGCUAACGUCCGUCGUGAAGAGGGAAACAACCCAGACCGCCAGCUAAGGUCCCAAAGUCAUGGUUAAGUGGGAAACGAUGUGGGAAGGCCCAGACAGCCAGGAUGUUGGCUUAGAAGCAGCCAUCAUUUAAAGAAAGCGUAAUAGCUCACUGGUCGAGUCGGCCUGCGCGGAAGAUGUAACGGGGCUAAACCAUGCACCGAAGCUGCGGCAGCGACGCUUAUGCGUUGUUGGGUAGGGGAGCGUUCUGUAAGCCUGUGAAGGUGUGCUGUGAGGCAUGCUGGAGGUAUCAGAAGUGCGAAUGCUGACAUAAGUAACGAUAAAGCGGGUGAAAAGCCCGCUCGCCGGAAGACCAAGGGUUCCUGUCCAACGUUAAUCGGGGCAGGGUGAGUCGACCCCUAAGGCGAGGCCGAAAGGCGUAGUCGAUGGGAAACAGGUUAAUAUUCCUGUACUUGGUGUUACUGCGAAGGGGGGACGGAGAAGGCUAUGUUGGCCGGGCGACGGUUGUCCCGGUUUAAGCGUGUAGGCUGGUUUUCCAGGCAAAUCCGGAAAAUCAAGGCUGAGGCGUGAUGACGAGGCACUACGGUGCUGAAGUAACAAAUGCCCUGCUUCCAGGAAAAGCCUCUAAGCAUCAGGUAACAUCAAAUCGUACCCCAAACCGACACAGGUGGUCAGGUAGAGAAUACCAAGGCGCUUGAGAGAACUCGGGUGAAGGAACUAGGCAAAAUGGUGCCGUAACUUCGGGAGAAGGCACGCUGAUAUGUAGGUGAAGCGACUUGCUCGUGGAGCUGAAAUCAGUCGAAGAUACCAGCUGGCUGCAACUGUUUAUUAAAAACACAGCACUGUGCAAACACGAAAGUGGACGUAUACGGUGUGACGCCUGCCCGGUGCCGGAAGGUUAAUUGAUGGGGUCAGCGCAAGCGAAGCUCUUGAUCGAAGCCCCGGUAAACGGCGGCCGUAACUAUAACGGUCCUAAGGUAGCGAAAUUCCUUGUCGGGUAAGUUCCGACCUGCACGAAUGGCGUAAUGAUGGCCAGGCUGUCUCCACCCGAGACUCAGUGAAAUUGAACUCGCUGUGAAGAUGCAGUGUACCCGCGGCAAGACGGAAAGACCCCGUGAACCUUUACUAUAGCUUGACACUGAACAUUGAGCCUUGAUGUGUAGGAUAGGUGGGAGGCUUUGAAGUGUGGACGCCAGUCUGCAUGGAGCCGACCUUGAAAUACCACCCUUUAAUGUUUGAUGUUCUAACGU